UACGAGUGCCCCGAGCGUUAUCCGGAAUCAUUGGGCGUAAAGGGUGUGUAGGUGGCAGUGUUAGUCGGUUGUUAAAACCUGGGGCUCAACCCCAGACUCGCGAUCGAAACGGCACAGCUAGAGGAUGGCAGAGAUGUAUGGAACUCAUGGAGUAGGGGUGAAAUCCGUUGAUAUCAUGGGGAACACCAAAAGCGAAGGCAGUACAUUGGGCCACUCCUGACACUGAAACACGAAAGCGUGGGUAGCGAAUGGG
This 253-nucleotide ribosomal RNA is filed under the name uncultured bacterium. RNAcentral describes it as "partial 16S ribosomal RNA". It matches the Rfam family "Bacterial small subunit ribosomal RNA", at positions 524 to 776 of the family's 1533-position model. The record is from RNAcentral.